Non-coding RNA from Meleagris gallopavo (turkey), 2765 nucleotides. Lineage: Eukaryota; Metazoa; Chordata; Aves; Galliformes; Phasianidae. The record is from RefSeq and is a predicted model, not a curated record.
CUCCAUCCCACUUACUAGUCGGGAAGAGAACAGGAGUUGAAACAAACACUGUGUGCUGUGCUGAUGCAUUCCUAACCAGCCGUGUCCCCACUGGCCACGUCCCCAGUCCCGCAGCAGAGCCUGGGCUGAUGUGUCACAGAACAGCUGUGAUGUAGCCCAGGUGAUGGAAUGGGAUGGUAACAGCAACCCAGAACCUGGCCCACAAGCAGAACUUGCCCGGAGUAUUUCUGUGGCACAAGUGCUAGCUGCUAUUGCACAGGUGUAGCAAAAGUGCUGAGUCCCAGACUGAAGCAGUGAUGGAGCACCUGGUGGGAGGGCAGGGCCAACCCAGGGUGCAGGCAAUGGACGUGACUGAUUGGAGGGGUGGAGCCAGGAUCCAGCCCUUCCCAGCCCUCAUUUAAGGCUUGGCAGUGGAGGUGAGGGGAACUUGUUGGAGAUCUCUGUUGGAAGCCUUCUAAAGCUCUGCUGUGCGGUGCAGACAGACGGGGAGCAGCACAGGCAGCGAUGUGGGCAGUGCCACAGCCUGAUCCUGGUGAGACGGGCCCUACUGCAGCGUGCUGAGUGAAUACCCACCCCCUUUUUCUAGUGACCAAUGAGUGGCUCUGUGUAACAAGGCCAGGAUCCGAAGGUGAAGCAGGUUUCUGUGUCCUGUGCAGCUCCACAAGGGGAAGAUGGCAUAAGGCAGCACUUGAGUGCCACCCUGCCCCAUACCAGGUCUUGGAGCUGCUUUGCUUUUUGGGAACGCACAUGGAAACACAGCUGUUGCUCCAUUAGCCCUAAAGAGGCAGCUUCAUUAGGGACAGCUGAGAGCACCUCAUUGCCUGUCUCAGCACUCAGCUCCAGCACUGCCUCUCUCCCAGCCCUCUCUGCACUCUAGGACUGUUCCCCCCAUCACCCAGGGCUGGGAUGUGGCUGCAGGGGGAUUUGUUGCUGGAGCAAUGCUGCGCUCGUACUUAGGAAAGUAGGGCAUCUGCUUGGCAGCUCUAGAAAUAAUGGGAGACUGGUUUAAUUAUUCUACAGAAACACUCAGAUUGUGCAGAUGCCGAACGUAGGUUUAAUAUAAUUAAGACAACUCCUGUCUAUAAACAUGUCUGGGACAGCCAGGGGUGGCAGAGCAGUGCUCCCCCUCCCAGCCACGAGCUGGAGCUCCCAGUGCAGCACCAUGGGACGUGGCUGUGCCAGAUCAGUUUGGCAUUCUGGCUGAACCCGAUGUCUUCUCCACUCCAAGGUGAACGCACCCCAGGCACAGCACCACCCACCCAUCCCACCCCACAGCCAGUCGGGCUAUGCUGUUACCCAUCCCAACCCCAGCUUCACCCCCAGGGCCUUCUCCUGGACAGGACGUGAGGUUCUCCGCUCAAAAUAGGAGAGAAUCCAGCCUGAGAGAAGGCAGCAGGUUUGCUGGAGGGAGAUGCUAUUUGCAGGCAGCCUGGCCCAGAGGUAGAUUUAUUCUCCUUCCUUUCAUUCAUUUGAAGCUAAAGUAAUAGCUCUAACUACAUCUGACUUCUAAUAAGCGCAUUACUGGGAACAAACCUGAGUUCUGCAUGUAUUUCCCUCUUUGUCAGCUCUAUCCAGGCACUUUUUCUCCCUCUCUUUUUACAAUAACAGAAUCAGAGCUUUGUCAGCUGGAAGUUUAUAUGCCCUACUUAUAACGCUGCUGUGCUCGUGUCCUGGCAUACGGAGCUCCUCACCCUCUGCUCACGGAGCGGAGCUGUGCGCACCCUGGUUCAAAUGCCUGAAUGCUCUGUGCUGUGAGCUUUGCUCCUUAGCGGCAGCUCCUUGAACUUGGGGUUGCUGUAGAGGAACAGGCAUUGUGCUGGGCAAUGCCUGCAGGUUUGCUCCUCGCACCGAUCCGUUGAUGUCCAUUGGUUCCGACUUCUGAUGUGUGAGAGCAGGGCACCAAACCUGGCUGCAAUUUGGCACCCACCUGAUGGUUUGAUUAAUGAGCUGUGUUAAUUACGGGCUCGGCGCCCUUACAGCAGAGUGGUGGUACAGUACAGGGCACACGGCUCUGCCACUGCUGCCUUUCCCAUGUGGAUUUCUGCUUGCUGAAGUCGGCUCUUCUGUUAAAUAUAGCUGAUGAGCUGUUCCUGAAUUGCACCUAAUUACGGCUCCUCUUCAGUGCUUCCUGCCAGCUCGCAGCACCAGGAGAGGGGAGACUCGAGCUCCUCCACUAUCCCACAGCUUGUGCUCGGAAGGAAGGAGACGAAAAGUGCUAUUCUCUGAGAAGAGAGGGGGAAAUAAUCCUGGCGAGGCUCCUGCUGAGCUCUCUGUCUGUGGAGAUGUCAGAAGUCGGGUGCACAGCAUGGAGCAGGGCUGCAAUGGUCACCAUGCAGAGCAUCUGCAGCUCCGCAAUGGUUCUGCCUCAUUUCCACAGCUCGUCCAUAGGACCUCUGGUGAAGAUGUUUUGCACCUCUGUCCCAAAGUGGGGCUCUUGCUGGGGCUGAAGCACGUUUUUCCCAGCUGUGUAACUGUAGGCCGCUGCCCUGUGUGGGUGUGCACUGGGCACUGCCUGCCCGGUUCUGCUGAGUUCUUCCCUGGAGGAGGAGGGUAAAGCCAGCAUGACCGAAAAUAUGCAGAUCUGUUCUCUGGUUAGAAGCGGCCUGGCUACUAGUUUCAGUCUCAGGCACUUGGCUUUGCUGUGGGAAGCCCUCAUCAUUUUCUGCUGUUUUACUCAUAGCCAAAAAUAUGAUGAAACCAGAACUGAAUGUGUUUUUUCUUUCCGUUUCAUUACAGUAAGCAUCAUAAAUUAUUCAGGCGUGAGA